Molecule: ribosomal RNA, 428 nt
Filed under: uncultured bacterium
Lineage: Bacteria
Description: partial 16S ribosomal RNA
Rfam family: Bacterial small subunit ribosomal RNA
Source: RNAcentral
GUGGGGAAUAUUGGGCAAUGGGCGAAAGCCUGACCCAGCAACGCCGCGUGAAGGAAGAAGGUUUUCGGAUUGUAAACUUCUGUCCUCAGGGAAGAAGAAAGUGACGGUACCUGAGGAGGAAGCCCCGGCUAACUACGUGCCAGCAGCCGCGGUAAUACGUAGGGGGCGAGCGUUGUCCGGAAUGACUGGGCGUAAAGGGCGCGUAGACGGCUGUCUAAGUCUGGAGUGAAAGUCCUGCUUUCAAGGUGGGAAUUGCUUUGGAGACUGGAUGGCUUGAGUGCGGAAGAGGUAAGUGGAAUUCCCAGUGUAGCGGUGAAAUGCGUAGAGAUUGGGAGGAACACCAGUGGCGAAGGCGACUUACUGGGCCGUAACUGACGUUGAUGCGCGAAAGCGUGGGGAGCGAACAGGAUUAGAAACCCUAGUAGUCC